Long non-coding RNA from Corvus hawaiiensis (hawaiian crow), 1941 nucleotides. RefSeq lists it as uncharacterized. The record is from RefSeq and is a predicted model, not a curated record. Lineage: Eukaryota; Metazoa; Chordata; Aves; Passeriformes; Corvidae. The transcript is spliced from 2 exons.
UGUUGCUGCCACAACAGGAGGAAAUCUCAUCAUCUGUCACCUUCAUCGGAGCUGGAGACACCACUUUGGACUGCUGAGUGCAGCUGGAUCCCAUUCCUUCUUGGAUUCUUGGAGUGCUCCCCACCCUGAGUUUGCUACAGGCUUGUGCAGCUCUUGAGACCCUCUGUUCCAGCACAUUGCAGGCUCAGGACCAUCCGGAAGAAGUAAAAGCCAGAUGGGCAUGGAUUAUAUUCCGUGGAUCACACAAGCUGGGAGCUGGAGGAGUGCAGCUGCAAACACAGGAGGGAAAUUGGGUCUUCUGUGAAGCACAGAUGGGUCCAUGGCCGGAUUUACCGUGGUGGCCAAAAAUCUGAGGAGGUGAGUGACCACUUGACAAGCCCAGGGAUGAGGUCUUCCUAAAAUCUGCAGAGAAGGGGAGCAGCUGUGGUUCUGCCGACCUGAAGAGGGAUUAAGGGAUGUGCUGAAAACCUCUCAAACGUGGUUCCUCAGACUUUCGGAAGGGAUGGCGGCGCUCCCAUCACAUCCAUGAGGAUAAAGGAGGGAUGCAGCAGAACAGGCACCAGCCCUCACCCCAAACUGCAUCUUCCUCCUGAAAAACAGUGCUGGGAAGAAGAAAUUCAUGGCUGGUAGGAGUCUGCUGUGUAACCACCACGGGAGGACAGAGAGAAGUGGCUUUGGGGUGUGGCAGAGCUGUGCCAAUACCCCACGAGCUACAACCUGAGCUGGGCUUUUGUUCUCAGCCCAAGCGGAGCACUUGUGAUAAUACAGCGCUGAUCUUCUCUGGGACGCUGUAAAGCCGGGAGCUGAUCUGGAUUGAACGUGUCAUUUGUAUUCCCACGCUGGUUUUGAACAAAUCUGUCAAAUCAAACCAAAAAAAGGAACAAAAAGAGGAGCGAUUGCAUAAGGAACUGCCUGGGCCGGCAGCCGCGGUCACCGAUGGCUCCGUGAGUUUGGUGUCCUCAGGGACAGGUCUGGGACAGGGAGCAGCAUCCCAGACCAGCAGCUGGGACCUCUCCAUAGGUUUGUCCAGAGUCUGCUGCUUCCUGCUGGUCCUCAGCAUCCUGCCAGCUUCGAGAGUGAAUCAGCUCCAUCUCUCCAGGCAAGGGCUGAGCUUUUUCUCACCCUCCUCCUGCCUUUUUGAUCUGGCUUUUAGAGAACCUCCUCACUCUGAGGAGAAUCUUUCCAUUUAUCCCAUUUUGGCGCUUUCUGAGCUACCAGAAAAGGCGUCUGCAGGCAGAGCAGCACCGUGGGCCCUUCCUCAAAUGCUCACAGAGGCGAGGGGCCUUGGGGAGAGGAAACACAGAUCUGCCAUCUGUGGCAACUCAGCGCUUACCAGUCAUUCUGCACCGGGACACUGUCACUCGGAAUUGAAUGUUGCUUCCUCUCCGUGGCCUGAGCAGCCUCCAAUUCCCAUCAAAUUGGCCCUGGCAUUCCCUAAUAAAACAGACACCCUGUGGCUGCACGAGUCACUCAGAGGGGCCAGGGAGGUCCCCUCUGGAGGGAGGCGUUCAGUUAAUUCAAGUUUUAUUGCAGUUCUGCAGUGCGGAGCCAUGCGGAGGAGGCUCGGUGGCUGUGCUGGGGUUUUAAAGGAGCAGCUGGGCAGGAAUUUGCCAGGGAUCCUGGCCGGGAGGAGCUGUGCUCUGCUGAGGGAGCAAAGUCCAGGGAAAUACAGGGAUGAGCAAGGAAUAGCGUGGGAUCACCUGGCAGCAAACACUGGAGGAGGAAAGGACAGAUCUGCCGUGGUGAGAGGGACACGGGGUGGCUCUGGGCACUUUGGGAAGUGAGAUUUGGGUGAGUCCUGCAAUCCAAGAGGAGUGUUCCUGGAGAAAAGGUGUUAGGUGAGGCCCACUGUCUUCAAGCACAAAUAUUUGUGCUCUCAAAUAAAAUUUUCUCUUGCAAACCCCACCUGAGGGCUGGCAGCAGAAGAGAAACUCUUCCAGA